GACGAACGCUUGCGGCGUGCCUAAGAAAUGCAAGUCGAGCGAGCUCAAGCCUUCGGGCGGAAAGCUAGCGGCGAACGGUCGAGUAACGCGUGAGCAACCUGCCCCAAAGCGGGGGAUAGCCCACCGAAAGGUGGAUUAAUACCGCAUGUGGCCGUUCCGGGGCAUCCCGGGACGAUUAAAGCAGCAAUGCGCUUUGGGAUGGGCUCGCGGCCUAUCAGCUUGUUGGUGGGGUAACGGCCUACCAAGGCUACGACGGGUAGCUGGUCUGAGAGGAUGGUCAGCCGGAUUGGGACUGAGACACGGCCCAGACUCCUACGGGGGGCAGCAAUUAGGAAUCUUGCGCAAUGGGCGAAAGCCUGACGCAGCGACGCCGCGUGACCGACGAAGUCCUUCGGGAUGUAAAGGUCUUUUGUCCAGGGAAGAAGAUCUGACGGUACCUGGCGAAUAAGCCCCGGCUAACUACGUG
This 466-nucleotide ribosomal RNA is filed under the name uncultured bacterium. RNAcentral's name for it is "bacterial SSU rRNA". It matches the Rfam family "Bacterial small subunit ribosomal RNA", at positions 28 to 507 of the family's 1533-position model. The record is from RNAcentral.